UCACUUGAUUCAAAGUGUCGUCCUCUUGUUGCGAUUUUCUCCAUUCCUCCUGGUUAUUAUCGAGAGAAAUCUUCCGUACUAUAAGAGAGGGGUCACGAUUUUUCUCUAAUCGUGCACACUGUUUACACUCAGGCAUUUUCUCGCAUGGUCUCCGUGAGAGAGCAUCGGUGUUUCCAUGAUGAAUUCCUGCUCGAUGACGAAUGUCAAAAUCGUACUGACCGAGCCUUUCUAACCAUCUAGCUACCUGACCUUCGGGAGAUUUGAACGAAAGUAGCCACCUGAGAGAAGCAUGAUCUGUGGCGUGCCUGCUGAAUUCCAAUACGAAAAAUUAGUAGAGGAAUAUGAUAGAGCGCAAUUAACCAAGAGCUCAGUAUUGAUGCAAAGGUCAGUAAUUGCAGUCUACUUUAUAUUCUACUGUGCAUGCACCGAUAAGCCGGGAGACAAGUGCCGAACCACACACUGGAAGCAUGCCUCAAGCCCCAGGUGGCUCAAGAUAGGAUAAGGCUCCUAUCACUGGUGCACGCCCCAUAAAGGAUGGUGCCACAGGACUAGUCGAACAACCAAGUGAAAAUAACCCCGCCUAUUCCUGAAAGAGAUGCAUCCGUAUUUAAAAUAAAAGGAAUUUCG
This 627-nucleotide long non-coding RNA is filed under the name Neodiprion lecontei (redheaded pine sawfly). Its description in RNAcentral is "uncharacterized LOC124294599, transcript variant X1". The record is from RNAcentral. Lineage: Eukaryota; Metazoa; Arthropoda; Insecta; Hymenoptera; Diprionidae.